AUUCCUUAGUGAGCUUUCACUGCAUUUCAGUGCCAUUUCAUGGCACGAUCCCUGUAUGCUUCGCUAUUCCGUGAUGCUGUAGUGUAUGACUGAAUCUUUUCAUGGGUCUUUGGUUGCAGAAGUGCCCCCAGGGAAGGCCUUGCCCGAUCCUCGCUUUCCCCCUGCACUGGAGCCCAGCUGGAAUCCAGUGGUCUGGAAGGAGUAAAGGACGAAUCCGAAAGAGGAAAAUACUCCCAGGGCUCGUCCCGUCUGCUAAAGAAGUUGCUGAAGGAAAUGGAGAAGGCAGAGCGUGGAACGGAACAGCCAACUGAGCAGGAUGCACUGCAGGAAGACAGCUAUCCCACUCAGCCAGUCUCAGACAGUGUAAGAGAGGCAGCGCCGACACUAGCAUGCCAGGGAUGAAUGCAAGAAAAGCACAAUGGCUGCUGUUCACAGAUCUGCGCGAAAGCGCCUCGUGAUGGUGAUGUUUAGUGUUCUGAUGUCUGUGCUGGUGCUGGCCUGUGGUGCUGUGAUAUGGAUAUGCAAAAGAAUACCGGGUGAGUUGGCUUUUCCCCCAAACACUUUAUUGCUGCGUUUUGGCAAGGAAGCAUUUGUGGGUGCCAGGAUCCUGACAGCCAAACUUUACGUUGCAAAGCUUUCCAAGUUUCUCCUUAUUUCCUGUCAGUGAGUAGUGCUUUCUGAAACUCAUUUUCACAGACCAUGCAUGAGGAACGAGAGAGCAGCAGAACAAGCUGAUCCAAACAGA
Coturnix japonica (Japanese quail) is the source of this 745-nucleotide non-coding RNA. The record is from RefSeq and is a predicted model, not a curated record. Lineage: Eukaryota; Metazoa; Chordata; Aves; Galliformes; Phasianidae.